Molecule: ribosomal RNA, 253 nt
Filed under: uncultured bacterium
Lineage: Bacteria
Description: partial 16S ribosomal RNA
Rfam family: Bacterial small subunit ribosomal RNA
Source: RNAcentral
UACGUAGGUGGCAAGCGUUGUCCGGAUUUACUGGGCGUAAAGAGCGCGCAGGCGGUCGUUCAAGUCGCGUGUGAAAGCCCCCGGCUCAACUGGGGAGGGUCACGCGAUACUGAUCGACUCGAAGGCAGGAGAGGGAAGUGGAAUUCCCGGUGUAGUGGUGAAAUGCGUAGAUAUCUGGAGGAACACCGGUGGCGAAGGCGGCGUUCUGGACUGCAACUGACACUGAAAAACGAAAGCCAGGGGAGCAAACGGG